UUCUUCUUGAAGAUCCAUUUUCACCCGACUGUCUUACGUCCUGGCACAUUGUCAACCAUGUUCCAAACUUGACUGUCAUACAUGGACAGUAUCUCGCUGUCCAUAGCCUCCUUCCAUUUGGUAGACUCCGGGCCUGCCAUGGCUUCCUUAACACUGCUAGGUUCAUCCCAAUUUACUAGUGUACUAUCUCUGAUAAACGUAUCACCUUCUGUAGUAAUAUGAAAACCAUAAUAAAACCCAGGUGUCUUCCUAACCUGUGUGGAACGCCUCGGAGGUACAGACUCGUCAGCUGGCUCAACAGGAGUUUCCUCCUCAGGUUGAUCGCUAGUGUCUGAGGUUCCUUCACCAUUUGAUUCUUGAAUUUCUUCGAGGUCAAUUUGCCUCCCACUGUCUCCUUGGCUUAUAAACUCUCUCUCACGAAAGACUCCUCUUCUUGCUACAAAGACCACAUUCUCACUGGGUCUGUAGAAGAGGUAACCGAAGGAAUUCUGUGGGUAGAUGAUGAAAAUACACCUUUCACUUCGGGGUUCGAGCUUAUCAUGAGUCUCACGCCUCACGAAAAGCCUCGCAUCCCCAAAUCUUGAUGUGUUCCAAAUUGGGAACCUUCCCAGUCCACAUCUCAUGAGGUGUUUUGGUAACCUUCUUUGUAGGGACUAGAUUAAGGAUAUGGGCGGCAGUCUCUAAGGCAUACCCCCAAAAAGAGAUUGGUAGCAAAGCUCGACUCAUCAUAGAGCGAACCAUGUCUAACAAGGUUCGAUUACGCCUCUCAUCUACACCAUUUAGUUGUGGUGUCCUUGGAGGAGUCAAUUGUGAGACAAGCCCACACUCCUUAAGAUAGUCAAGGAACUCGGUACUAAGAUACUCACCACCUCGAUCGGAUCGAAGCAUCUUAAUGUUCUUGCCCAAUUGAUUUUCUACUUCCUGUUUAAAUUCUUUAAACCUGUCAAAGAUUUCUGACUUACGUUUGAUUAAGUAGACAUAACCAUAUCUACUAAAAUCAUCAAUAAAAGUCACAUAAUACCGAUUAGCAUCCCUUGNGGAUCGAAGCAUCUUAAUGUUCCUGCCCAAUUGAUUUUCUACUUCCUGUUUGAAUUCCUUAAACCUUUCAAAGGUUUCGGACUUGUGUUUGAUCAAGUAGACAUACCCAUAUCUACUAUAAUCAUCAAUAAAAGUCACAUAAUACCGAUUAGCGUCCCUUGUGGCGGUUUUGAAUGGCCCACAUACAUC
This 1227-nucleotide long non-coding RNA is filed under the name Lactuca sativa (garden lettuce). Its description in RNAcentral is "long non-coding RNA (LSAT_LNC004092)". The record is from RNAcentral. Lineage: Eukaryota; Viridiplantae; Streptophyta; Magnoliopsida; Asterales; Asteraceae.